CUCCCAUCCGGCCCCAGGGCGGGGUGAUGCCUGACUCUGGCGAAUCCUGACCUUUUGCCCUCCUGCUUGCAGGUGGCACCGAUUCAGCCCUGGUGACCUUUAAGGGCUGCGCCACCCCGGCCAUGUGCCAGAGCUCGCUGCUGGCCCUGGUGCAGGAGCUGGACGGCGCCGAGGUCUAUUGCUGCACCGGGAGCCUCUGUAACACCCGCAUCAUGGACGGGCGGGUGGCCGAGGGGCGGCCCAGCCACCCCUCCCCCACCCACGCCCCCACCCCCAAGCCAGGCUUCAUCCUGGAGGAAGACCAGGAGGAGGAGGACAGGGUCCCCGUUGCUGGGGGCCACCCUCCGUUGGCAGGGAGCCACGGCGACCGGGAGGCGAAGACCACCGAGAGUUCCGAAGGGCGGGGCUUGGAGGAGGGAGGGGCCUUUGUCGCCGGGAACCACGCCGCGUCACCUACAGGCGGACAGGGUGUCACCCCGCGCCCCGGCCAUGGGACCGCAUCUGCCGAAGACCGCAACAACGCCGGCUCCAGGGACAACGCCUUCAGUGCGGGAGGGGUCUUUUCCGAGAGCAACGCCGCGCGGCCGACGGGCGUCCCUCACCCCGAUCCCAGGGCUACAGGCGGCCCCGCUACCAUCGUCCUGGACGGGAGCAGCCGCUCGGAGCCCGACACCAGCAAGACACCGGAGAACGGCCGGGAGAUUCCAGCCGGCAGCGGCCUGGCCCACACAGACGCUGAGGAAGAGGAGUGCGAGGAAGAAACCAGUUACUCUGCCCGGGACCACAUUACCGGUGGCUCCGGCACCGAAAGCCGCACCGGGUCAGCCAGAGAGAGCUUCGUGGCCGAGGGCAGCGCCGCUCACAGCACCGGCGGCUCGACUCCCGGCUCCCCCGGCCACCGGAUCGACACCGUAGUCCACAUCCCCCAUCUCGCCACCAGGCAGAAUGAGAGCUUCUUCUCUGAGGACAAGGAGGGAAGUUCCAGCCAGCCCAGCGCCUCCCCAGCCAGCCCCAGCGGCACCAUCCUGGCCGCCGGAGGAGCCGGAGCCGGGUCCCACCGGGGGAAGAAUAAGACCCUCUGCACCAAGCGCCCGGGAGUGGCUCCGGUCGGCCAAGAGGGCUCCUUGGAGCGCACCGAGGGCGACCGGGACUGGCCAACCAUCUCCUUCCCCAUCACCGUGGAAAUGCCCAACAGCUCCCUGCGAGGUCACCUUGGCAACGCCAGCGCCCCGGGGCUGGACUCAGUGGAGGGGCUGGUGAAGAACACCAGCGACUGGUUGUACGCCAACACCCCGGGGAAGCCACGUCCCCCCUACCCCAGCGGAGCCUUUGGCCUCGGCAGCAACUUUGGCCUCGUCACCCUCACGCUCCUGCUCGCGGUACUGCUGCACUGAGCCCUGCGCGGAACCCAGGAGUCCGGGCUCCCAGCCCCGCUGCUCUAACCCACUAGACCCUGCUGCUCCCUGCCCAGAACCAGGGAGAGAACCCAGGCGCCACCCUAGCACCGAGAGCCUGCCGCCGAGCGGAAGGAAAGCCCUGGCCGGUACCGGAGCAGGACACCUGGGUUCUUUGCGCUUGGCUGAGGGUGCAUCUGUGAAGGUGACCCCAUCGCUCCCUGCUGGCUGGAAUCGAAAAUGCUCCCCCCGUGUGUCAUAGACCCCGUAGUGCUAGUGGCAGAGGGAGAUUUCCCUUAUAGAACAGGGGGCUGGGAGCUCCCGUAGUGGCUGCUGCUCCGAGGGGCCCUAUCCACUCUAUAGGUAGAUACGUAUAGAUUAUCUAGCGCUGUAGACUGCCCUGUACUAGAUCCGUUAACCCUUGAGAUGCUGGAGGGUUUGGGGUUUUUUUGCCUGUUAAAGGCCUGGAUUAGAAGAGGGGGUGCGACUUAACACAACAACAACACAACCCAGCACUGCCAGACCGCACAUCCAUAUGGCCACACGGGCAGACAACAUACAAACGCACAUACACACCCCUGCUCCAAUACACAAAACACACACAUCUGCACUAUCCGAACACACGCACCUCGCAGACACACAAACACAAGUACACACAAGGCAGGCAGCGUGCACACACACACACACACACACACACAGAGUUUAUUUUGCUAUCUAUGAAGUCUCCUAGGGCUUAAAUAUUUAUUCCGGAGGAACUUUACCCUGUCAGACAACAGCCCCUGGGGAUGGGAGGGGGGGGGUCGUCCCCGUUUGCCCCCUGCCCCUUAGCGCCCCAUGCUGGGGGGGGGGAAGGGGGGCGCGGUCUCAUCCCUCAGCUGGUUGGCUGCCGACGGG
This 2288-nucleotide long non-coding RNA is filed under the name Chrysemys picta bellii (western painted turtle). Its description in RNAcentral is "lncRNA (ENSCPBG00000013093.1)". The record is from RNAcentral. Lineage: Eukaryota; Metazoa; Chordata; Testudines; Emydidae.